CUUGACCGAACCGAGCCACAGCGGCGUUUCCCGGUCCUGGCCGUAGGUGGCGAGAACCGCCUGGGCCUC
This 69-nucleotide antisense RNA is filed under the name Lentzea waywayandensis. Its description in RNAcentral is "ASpks TB sRNA". It matches the Rfam family "ASpks TB sRNA". The record is from RNAcentral. Lineage: Bacteria; Bacillati; Actinomycetota; Actinomycetes; Pseudonocardiales; Pseudonocardiaceae.